AGCCACACCACCGGCAUGGUUCUUAAUUCUACAUGACAAGCAGAGCCCACAGACAGAGGGACAGUACCGUGGGGACUGUCACUGACCUCUGUCUUAACCCAUUGAGAAAUGCAAACAAAAGAAGAAAAGGAAGCCAUGCAGCUUGAGCUGCUCCUGGUCUCUGAGACUGAAGCACUGAGCUCAGGAGAACCUGUGGGCCCAGCUCUUUUCAUAGCCUGUGUGACCACUAUUCCUUUCCGUCAGCUUUUCUCUGUCUGGAAACAACUACAGGACAAGCGCUGGGUACGCCCGUAAGGAAUUUUCUAGAUCUGAUUAUUGAAAAUGGCAAGACCCAGCCUCGUAUGGGCUGCACCUUUCUGUGGCAGCUGAGGAUGGAGGUGGAAGAAGACAGGGAAUCAACCAUAUUGCCUGGAUGGGAAGGACAGAAACAAAUGAGUCGUUUGUCAUGCAGGUCUAUACCUGUACACAUCAGCAGAUCUUUCAAAUGCUACCUGAAAAGGCCUCCCUUCUGGCUGGCUGCCACGCUUUUCUAAGGGGAGGCACACCACGCAUGAGCAGAACUGUCUGUGGCUGACUACAGACAGGAACAAGUCUGUCGGACCACCCAUCGCUAAACACAUGGAACAUCGUUCCUGACAUAACCAGAGUUGCCCUGGUGAACUUGCCACAGAGAAGCAAGAAAAGAAAAGGAUUGGGAGAAAUCCAGCUAAUGGCGGUCAAGCAGCUGUCGGAGAAUCACAUCCGAAGGACGGUCUGUGGCCCCUGCGCCCUGAGCUGGAACAGUGACGUUAUCUUCGAAACGAGCACACUGUGGUCGGUUACUGAUGUCUGCCAACUGCUUAGGAAAGGGUGUAUGCGGCCUGUGUGUCAGUCCUGCUCUUGUUGGCACGAGACAGUGUUUUAGACCAUGGUGUUUACUGAUCUUUCCUUUUAAAAAGACAACCAGCCUUUGCCUUCUUCUUCAGGAGCCCAUGCAGGUAUCCGCCUGCUGCCCAGGCAAGAGACUUAUCAUAGUUUAAGCAGAGUCUUUCCAAGGUCUCUGAUCUAAUGAGCAGUAAAUUCCACUUAACAUGUGUCUCCAAACUCUAUAAAUGGAAAUCCCUACAGAUUGGCCUUCUCUUUUCCUUUGCAACAGAUGUUCAACACAGCAGGCUUUCCCAUGCCUUAGCACCAACUGCCACUCUCAGAUCUCCCAGAGCUGACCAUGGCCAGGGAAGCAUCCAUGACAUCUGCCGCUUGACCUCUCACAGAAGGCUCAGUAGGUGGAUAUGAAUUAUGGCAUGGCAGCCACCACUUUUUGUCACAACCGACUCUCUAGAAGCACUUGUACCCUAAUGGCAUUGCCAGCUACGCCUUACUGGGUGGAGCACAGUACAGACAUGCCACUCACCCUCUUCCUUUAUUGUUCCACUGCCUGGAUCUUUGUCAAUUUUAUAAAAUUAACAUUUUCCUUAAAAAUUGAAAAGUCUUGUGUUCAGAGACCUUCCUUCAUAGUGUGCUUCGGCUGCUCUGACGCGGUGCCCUAGACAGAGUGACUCCAACAACAGGUAUUUUCUUCUCACAGUUCUGGAAGCCAAGGCAAGCCCAAGGUACCUGCUGGCAUAUUCUGUCAGGGGCUGGCUUUCUGGUCUGAAGACUGUCACGGUGCUGUGUCCUCACGGUGGAGGAGAUACUAUUCUUUCCUCACCUUAGGAAAGACACUAGUCCCACCAAGAACCCUGCCCUGUGUCCUCAUCUAAACUGACCUGCUACCAAGAGACCCACCCUCAAAUAACCUCACAUUGGGGGUUAUAGCAUCAGUAUACACAUUCCAUAGAAUGCCCAUAUCUGUAAGGGGUACUUUUGAGACACAGUAUUGCCACACACCUCAAGCAGCCUUAAACUCAAGAACCUCCCAUCUCAGCCACCCAGAUCUGGGAUUUUAGGUCUGAGGCUUUGUUUGCAAACAAACUUUCUAACACUAAAGAGUUUUGAUGUGCCUUUUGAUCUGAGUUUGUGCUUGAAGAAGGCUACUGGUGAUACAGGGAGAACAGAACUUUAAGAACCUUGAGAUUUAAAAAGGACGCGACACACACACCAGUAGUCUCAGCAGUUAGGAGGUAGAGGGAGGAGGACCUUAAUUUGAGGCCAGUCUGUGCUACAUAAAGAGAGCAUCUCAAAAAAAUUUAAGAUUUAGAAAGACAAUGCUCCCUUUUUUCAGGUUUGAAGAGAGCAGUGGGUGACUGAGUUACUAUUACUAAUAGCAGAAAAAUGCCCCAGUGAACUGUGUGGGUGAACAUAGGAUCCAGUAGUGAGGUGGGGGUUGGGCUAUUUAGGCUGUUUCCUGAGAAGUGAAUUGACAAUUCCGCUUGUUGAGUUGUUGAUGCUGUGCUGAAGCAGGAGUGCCAUGAUUUUGAGCUAGUUAUUCAGUCUCUCUAAGCCUCAGUGGUGUCACUUCUAAAGAAUGAUUAAUAAUCAUUUG
Mesocricetus auratus (golden hamster) is the source of this 2461-nucleotide long non-coding RNA. RefSeq lists it as uncharacterized. Lineage: Eukaryota; Metazoa; Chordata; Mammalia; Rodentia; Cricetidae. The record is from RefSeq and is a predicted model, not a curated record. The transcript has 4 exons.